AAACCAUGCACCGAAGCUGCGGCAGCGACACUCAGGUGUUGUUGGGUAGGGGAGCGUUCUGUAAGCCUGCGAAGGUGGCCUGUGAGGGUUGCUGGAGGUAUCAGAAGUGCGAAUGCUGACAUAAGUAACGAUAAAGCGGGUGAAAAGCCCGCUCGCCGGAAGACCAAGGGUUCCUGUCCAACGUUAAUCGGGGCAGGGUGAGUCGACCCCUAAGGCGAGGCCGAAAGGCGUAGUCGAUGGGAAACGGGUUAAUAUUCCCGUACUUGGUGUUACUGCGAAGGGGGGACGGAGAAGGCUAUGUUGGCCGGGCGACGGUUGUCCCGGUUUAAGCGUGUAGGUGUGUGUUCCAGGUAAAUCCGGUUCACUUUAACACUGAGGCGUGACGACGAGGCACUACGGUGCUGAAGCAACAAAUGCCCUGCUUCCAGGAAAAGCCUCUAAGCAUCAGGUAACAUCAAAUCGUACCCCAAACCGACACAGGUGGUCAGGUAGAGAAUACCAAGGCGCUUGAGAGAACUCGGGUGAAGGAACUAGGCAAAAUGGUGCCGUAACUUCGGGAGAAGGCACGCUGACAUGUAGGUGAAGUGAUUUACUCAUGGAGCUGAAGUCAGUCGAAGAUACCAGCUGGCUGCAACUGUUUAUUAAAAACACAGCACUGUGCAAACACGAAAGUGGACGUAUACGGUGUGACGCCUGCCCGGUGCCGGAAGGUUAAUUGAUGGGGUCAGCGCAAGCGAAGCUCCUGAUCGAAGCCCCGGUAAACGGCGGCCGUAACUAUAACGGUCCUAAGGUAGCGAAAUUCCUUGUCGGGUAAGUUCCGACCUGCACGAAUGGCGUAAUGAUGGCCAGGCUGUCUCCACCCGAGACUCAGUGAAAUUGAACUCGCUGUGAAGAUGCAGUGUACCCGCGGCAAGACGGAAAGACCCCGUGAACCUUUACUAUAGCUUGACACUGAACAUUGAGCCUUGAUGUGUAGGAUAGGUGGGAGGCUUUGAAGUGUGGACGCCAGUCUGCAUGGAGCCGACCUUGAAAUACCACCCUUUAAUGUUUGAUGUUCUAACGUGGACCCGUGAUCCGGGUUGCGGACAGUGUCUGGUGGGUAGUUUGACUGGGGCGGUCUCCUCCUAAAGAGUAACGGAGGAGCACGAAGGUUGGCUAAUCCUGGUCGGACAUCAGGAGGUUAGUGCAAUGGCAUAAGCCAGCUUGACUGCGAGCGUGACGGCGCGAGCAGGUGCGAAAGCAGGUCAUAGUGAUCCGGUGGUUCUGAAUGGAAGGGCCAUCGCUCAACGGAUAAAAGGUACUCCGGGGAUAACAGGCUGAUACCGCCCAAGAGUUCAUAUCGACGGCGGUGUUUGGCACCUCGAUGUCGGCUCAUCACAUCCUGGGGCUGAAGUAGGUCCCAAGGGUAUGGCUGUUCGCCAUUUAAAGUGGUACGCGAGCUGGGUUUAGAACGUCGUGAGACAGUUCGGUCCCUAUCUGCCGUGGGCGCUGGAGAACUGAGGGGGGCUGCUCCUAGUACGAGAGGACCGGAGUGGACGCAUCACUGGUGUUCGGGUUGUCAUGCCAAUGGCACUGCCCGGUAGCUAAAUGCGGAAGAGAUAAGUGCUGAAAGCAUCUAAGCACGAAACUUGCCCCGAGA
Molecule: ribosomal RNA, 1639 nt
Filed under: Salmonella enterica
Lineage: Bacteria; Pseudomonadati; Pseudomonadota; Gammaproteobacteria; Enterobacterales; Enterobacteriaceae
Description: partial 23S ribosomal RNA
Rfam family: Bacterial large subunit ribosomal RNA
Source: RNAcentral